RNAcentral lists this ribosomal RNA (508 nucleotides) under uncultured bacterium. RNAcentral's name for it is "partial 16S ribosomal RNA". It matches the Rfam family "Bacterial small subunit ribosomal RNA", at positions 30 to 523 of the family's 1533-position model. The record is from RNAcentral.
AUUGAACGCUGGCGGCAUGCCUUACACAUGCAAGUCGAACGGCAGCGGGGGAGAAGCUUGCUUUUCCUGCCGGCGAGUGGCGAACGGGUGAGUAAUACAUCGGAACGUGCCCUGUAGUGGGGGAUAACUAGUCGAAAGAUUAGCUAAUACCGCAUACGACCUGAGGGUGAAAGUGGGGGACCGCAAGGCCUCAUGCUAUAGGAGCGGCCGAUGUCUGAUUAGCUAGUUGGUGGGGUAAAGGCCUACCAAGGCGACGAUCAGUAGCUGGUCUGAGAAGACGAUCAACCACACUGGGACUGAGACACGGCCCAGACUCCUACGGGAGGCAGCAGUGGGGAAUUUUGGACAAUGGGCGAAAGCCUGAUCCAGCAAUGCCGCGUGUGUGAAGAAGGCCUUCGGGUUGUAAAGCACUUUUGUCCGGAAAGAAAUGGCUCUGGUUAAUACCUGGGGUCGAUGACGGUACCGGAAGAAUAAGGACCGGCUAACUACGUGCCAGCCGCCGCGGUAA